GAUGAACGCUAGCGGCAGGCCUAACACAUGCAAGUCGAGGGGUAGAAGGAUUAAGCUUGCUUAAUUGCGGAAGACCGGCGCACGGGUGCGUAACGCGUAUGCAACCUACCUUAGACGGGGGUAUAGCCCGGAGAAAUUCGGAUUAAGCCCCCAUAGUACUAAUGAAUCGCAUGGUUUAUGAGUUAAAGCAUUGCGGUAUAAGAUGGGCAUGCGUCCUAUUAGCUAGAUGGUGAGGUAACGGCUCACCAUGGCUACGAUAGGUAGGGGGCCUGAGAGGGUGGUCCCCCACACGGGUACUGAGACACGGACCAGACUCCUACGGGAGGCAGCAGUGAGGAAUAUUGGUCAAUGGGCGCAAGCCUGAACCAGCCAUGCCGCGUGCAGGAAGAAUGCCCUAUGGGUUGUAAACUGCUUUUAUUUGGGAAUAAACCUCUUUCCGUGUAGAGAGCUGAAGGUACCAAAUGAAUAAGCACCGGCUAACUCCGUGCCCGCAGCCGCCGUAA
This 503-nucleotide ribosomal RNA is filed under the name uncultured bacterium. RNAcentral describes it as "partial 16S ribosomal RNA". It matches the Rfam family "Bacterial small subunit ribosomal RNA", at positions 28 to 523 of the family's 1533-position model. The record is from RNAcentral.